Molecule: ribosomal RNA, 253 nt
Filed under: uncultured bacterium
Lineage: Bacteria
Description: partial 16S ribosomal RNA
Rfam family: Bacterial small subunit ribosomal RNA
Source: RNAcentral
CACGGGGGGAGCAAGCGUUGUUCGGAAUCAUUGGGCGUAAAGCGCGUGUAGGCGGCCCGGUAAGUCCGCUGUGAAAGUCGGGGGCUCAACCCUCGAAUGCCGGUGGAUACUGUCGGGCUAGAGUACGGAAGAGGCGAGUGGAAUUCCUGGUGUAGCGGUGAAAUGCGCAGAUAUCAGGAGGAACACCAAUUGCGAAGGCAGCUCGCUGGGACGUCACUGACGCUGAGACGCGAAAGCUAGGGGAGCAAACAGG